CACGGAGUUAGCCGAUCCUUAUUCUUACGAUACCGUCAAGCUACUUCACGAAGUAGUGUUUCUUCUCGUAUAAAAGCAGUUUACAAUCCAUAGGACCGUCAUCCUGCACGCGGCAUGGCUGGAUCAGGCUUGCGCCCAUUGUCCAAUAUUCCUCACUGCUGCCUCCCGUAGGAGUCUGGUCCGUGUCUCAGUACCAGUGUGGGGGAUCUCCCUCUCAGGACCCCUACCCAUCGUAGCCUUGGUAAGCCGUUACCUUACCAACUAGCUAAUGGGACGCAUGCUCAUCUUUUACCGUUGUGACUUUAAUAAUGUCUUGAUGCCAAGUCAUUAUACUAUGAGGUAUUAAUCCAAAUUUCUCUGGGCUAUCCCUCUGUAAAAGGUAGAUUGCAUACGCGUUACGCACCCGUGCGCCGGUCUCUAGCUCCGAAGAACUAUACCCCUCGACUUGCAUGUGUUAAGCCUGCCGCUAGCGUUCAUCCUGAGCCAGGAUCAAA
Molecule: ribosomal RNA, 494 nt
Filed under: uncultured Flavobacterium sp.
Lineage: Bacteria; Pseudomonadati; Bacteroidota; Flavobacteriia; Flavobacteriales; Flavobacteriaceae
Description: partial 16S ribosomal RNA
Source: RNAcentral